Paramormyrops kingsleyae is the source of this 680-nucleotide non-coding RNA. Lineage: Eukaryota; Metazoa; Chordata; Actinopteri; Osteoglossiformes; Mormyridae. The record is from RefSeq and is a predicted model, not a curated record.
GGUUGUUGAUACAUACUACAAUGAUGACAGUGAUAUUAAAAAGGAUGAAGAACUUCAGAACUUCUGUCGCUAUACUUACCAUUGUGGAUUUCAGGGACAAACAGAUUUCCCUGAAACAGUGGAAACUAAAGCAGAAGCAGUCAAAUACCUGAGCAUGGUGAUGUUUACCUGCUCAGCUCAGCACGCCGCCGUGAACCACGGACAGUAUGAUAUGUACGCUUGGAUGCCAAACGGUCCCACAACAAUGAGGCAGCCCCCACCAAGGAACGUGGACGAGGUAGAUGAGGAUUACAUCAUCAAUACUCUGCCUGAUAUGGAGACGACCCUGCAGGCCAUGUUUGUAACCCAGUUCCUCAGUCAAGUCGCCAAAGAUUUUGUAAGUACUUAUCUGUUUGCUGGUACUGAACCUUUUCCAGUUAUUCCUUGAUCCCUAUGUUCUUAUCCCAAACUGAUUCAUUCUGCUCUGUUACUGGUAAGUGGCCUGAUAAUGGAUGGAUUGAUUUGUUCUGUUUACUUUUCUGUGUGAUAAAAGGAUACUGAGUCACUGUCAUUUUGCACCAAUUUCAUGGCACUUUGUUGUGGAAUCUUCUUUUCAAGCUUUAGUGUAACAAAGUAAACAGCCUUGUUCCUCAGUUUUCCAAUCUCAAGUAGGUCUGCUAUUGAAAAAAAAAUCUUAACAU